This 433-nucleotide ribosomal RNA is filed under the name uncultured bacterium. Its description in RNAcentral is "partial 16S ribosomal RNA". It matches the Rfam family "Bacterial small subunit ribosomal RNA", at positions 29 to 507 of the family's 1533-position model. The record is from RNAcentral.
AGCGAACGCUGGCGGCAGGCCUAACACAUGCAAGUCGAACGAACUCUUCGGAGUUAGUGGCGGACGGGUGAGUAACACGUGGUAACGUGCCUUUUGGUUCGGAAUAACUCAGGGGAACUUGUGCUAAUACCGAAUGUGCCCUUCGGGGGAAAGAUUUAUCGCCAUUAGAGCGGCCCGCGUCUGAUUCGCUAGUUGGUGAGGUAACGGCUCACCAAGGCGACGAUCAGUAGCUGGUCUGAGAGGAUGACCAGCCACACUGGGACUGAGACACGGCCCAGACUCCUACGGGAGGCAGCAGUGGGGAAUCUUGCGCAAUGGGCGAAAGCCUGACGCAGCCAUGCCGCGUGAAUGAUGAAGGUCUUAGGAUUGUAAAAUUCUUUCACCGGGGACGAUAAUGACGGUACCCGGAGAAGAAGCCCCGGCUAACUUCGUG